Molecule: non-coding RNA, 718 nt
Organism: Cinara cedri
Lineage: Eukaryota; Metazoa; Arthropoda; Insecta; Hemiptera; Aphididae
Source: the annotation of a GenBank genome assembly
CAAUUUUGCUCCGAUUUUCAAAUAUAGCAUUUUUUCUGAAAGGAAAUUAGACUGGGGUGAUACUUUCAAGAGGUUAUUUUUUGAUUUUCUCAGCUGUUUUCAUAAUAAAUGGGGAAAACCUGGAAAAAAACAGGAAAAUAGGUACAAGAUUAAACAAAUAUUAUUAAAGAAAAUAUAUGAUGCAUAAUAAUUGUGUAUGUAAUUAUUUUACCAUAAUCUGACAUACAUAUUGUCGACAAAGCAACACUAUUAACCGAGCUUCGCUCAGAAUUGUUAUUCGUUAGCAAUGGUUAACAGAUAUACUUACAUUAAAUUUUCCCUUUACCUUCCCUGCAACUUUUCACCUACACCAGUGACCCACUCACCCGUGCGAAAUACAUCCGUCUUUUUUUUCAUUUGUAUUAUUAUUAUUAUUGUUAUAUUUACGAAUUUACUGAUAAAAUCAAUGCCGUGAUAAUGCGUGUUUUUAGGGGCAAAGUGAAUUUAAUUAAUGGAUAAAUCCACUUUUGGCUAGUGGAUUAUAGACGUCGCAAUCGAUAGAUUUAUUUUAUGUGUACCUAUGUAUUUAUAUUGUAGACUACUUGUAGUUUGAAAAAAGAAAAAAAAUGCUCGUAUACAUAGGUAUUUAUAUUGAUGUUGUUAUUAUUGUAUUGAACUUUGAUUUUCUACUCUUCUAUGCACCUAUGCCUACCUUUAUAGUUAUAUUUAACGUAUGGAC